CGNGAAGGAUCAUUAUUGUAUAACACGAGACAUUGAGGCUGUCGCUGACGAAAGUCGUGCACGCCUUGGUGUUCUUACAUCCAUUUCACCCUUGUGCAUCAUCGCGUGGGCCGUUCCCAUUGGGAAUGGUCUACGUUUUUAAUACAAACCCCUAUUGAUGUGUAGAAUGUGUACUUUGCGAUAACAACGCAACUAAUACAACUUUCAACAACGGAUCUCUUGGCUCUCGCAUCGAUGAAGAACGCAGCGAAAUGCGAUACGUAAUGUGAAUUGCAGAAUUCAGUGAAUCAUCGAAUCUUUGAACGCACCUUGCGCCUCUUGGUAUUCCGAGGGGCACGCCCGUUUGAGUGUCGUGAAAUUCUCAACCCUCUUGGUUUUCUUUUGAAGGCUAAGAGGGCUUGGACUUGGAGGUUCUUGCUGGCAGCACUUUGCGAUCAGCUCCUCUUAAAUGCAUUAGCGAGGUUCUCUUUGCUGACCUUUGGCGUGAUAAGUAUCUACGUCUUUGGUGUGGCUCUGCUGUUAGA
This 524-nucleotide ribosomal RNA is filed under the name uncultured fungus. RNAcentral's name for it is "eukaryotic LSU rRNA". The stretch from base 200 to 353 matches the Rfam family "5.8S ribosomal RNA". The record is from RNAcentral. Lineage: Eukaryota; Fungi.